This is a long non-coding RNA of Rhinolophus ferrumequinum (greater horseshoe bat), 6431 nucleotides long. RefSeq lists it as uncharacterized. The record is from RefSeq and is a predicted model, not a curated record. Lineage: Eukaryota; Metazoa; Chordata; Mammalia; Chiroptera; Rhinolophidae. The transcript has 3 exons.
AAACAUGGUACGUCCUCUCCAGAAGCCGUCCUGACCGUAGAGAUGCUGUCACUGUCAGGAAAUCUGGGGUCCUUUUGGGGAAUGAGCUCCAGAGCCAGAGCUGAGCACCUGCACACAGAGUAGCUCACUUCUGCUCAGAGCUUCACCAUUUAGCAAGUGACCAGUUUACCUGACUUGUUCCUCAGCAGCGCCGGGAAGCUGGGGCUUAAGGGUCAGGAGCCCGGCUGCAAAGAGUUUGGCCGGUUUGCCCCAGUUGUUCCCGGCUGGAAACGGUUUGGGGUGUGUCUCUCCCAUUUGAUUUUCUUUGUUCUUUUUCCUGGAGAAACAAAUAGGACCCAGAGGCCAGAGUUGCAUGAGCCGAGUGGUUUGUCUGCUCCUGAAUCCAUCCUUCGCUGUCUGGGUCUCAGAAACAGCACUGGCGUCUGGACAGCGCCUUCUGUGGCAGCGAGGCUCACACAGUGUCUUCUCUGAGCUCCCCGCCUGCCCACCGGGCCUGCGGGAUGAAGCAAGCCGGCUGCCCCCAUCUCCCUGCCCGCGAGGGCUCAGCGGACAUAGACCAGGUGGCUUUAGCAAGAUGUUUGCCCAGUCAGGGUGGCCUGGUGGAAAGCAUGGAAACAUUGUAACAAUAUUAAUAGCAGGAGGAGGAGACCAAGAUCACAAGCCCAACACCAGGACAGUGGUUUAACAACACACGGCUCCACAGCCGGCUCUAACCCUGGGCCAGUGGCUCACGCCCAGGGCGAUGUUGUCCCCCUGGGGACAUUCUAGUUUGUCACACCUGGGGGAGGGAGGACGUUGCUGGCCUCUGGUGGAUGGAGACCAGGGAGCUGCUAAACCCUCCAGGGCACCAGCCAGCCCCCGACAAGAGCUGCUGGGCCCCAAGUGUCCACAGCAUGAGGUUGAGAAAGCCAGGCGUAGGUGCUUUCCCUGUUAUUAACACAUUUAAUCACACACCCAUGUGGGCAGACUCUAUGUCCAGACCUCAAUUAACCUCCAGGCCACACACUUAGCAUCAGAGAUUUAGGAGUAAACUGGCCAGUCAGGCACAGCUGAGUGUGGAAGCUGCCGGAACCCACAAGGCUGGCUUAUCACAGGCUGAAUAAUUGCAGCCCAGGUGGGAAUAACCAGUUUAGGUAAGUGACAGCUGUCAACAGAGAGACACCUCGGUUGCUCAGAACUCUAUCCUGGGUCCUGACGUGGCCAGAGCUUUACCAUCAGCUGAGCAAAGCUUCUGCAGCAAGUUAUAAACCACAAAAUUACUUCAGUUAAUUUCAAAAAGGAGAAACACUGUAGAAAACUGUUUCUAAUCAUAGUGUAAUAAAAUCAGAGACUGAUAAAAAACACAAAACCAAAACAGGCCUUCGCCUGAAAACUUUACAAUUCCCUGUUAAUCCACUUCUGAGUCAGAGGGAAAUGCAAAAUAAAAUCCCAGAAUGUCUAGGAAACAAUAAUGGUGAAAAGGCUAGAUCGAAUUUAUGGACUACACAUAAAGCAGGCUCACAGGCUUAAAUAUUGUCAUCAAUAAAAAAGAAAUUAUUUUAUUAUCUCACUCAAAAAGUUGGAACAAUAUGCUAAAGUGAAGUAAAGCAGAAAAAAGCAAUAAAGAUGAUAGAAAAAAAUGUUCUAAAAUAGAAUAACAUCUGACCUUCUGAGUAAAUCAAAAAGCCGGUUAAUUCCUAGUCAAAGAAAAAGUGGGAAAACUCAAACACACAAAACAGGAAAUGACAAGCGCGAUACCACCCCUGGGCUCUGUGCGACGUGCUUCCCACGCGCUGUCAUGUCGGUGCACCUCCAGCAAGCCCGCAAUAGCAGCUGUGAGUACUAUCACGUUUAUCUCCACUUUUCUAAGCGAGGCAAUCAGGCCCAAAGAGGCCUUAUGACUCACGCAGGUCUGCCAGCUGCAGGAACGGGUGGGACUGGGAUACAAGCCCACGCCACCGCCCCCGGGCUGACGCCACCAGCUGACGCCACCAUGCCAGUCUUCCUCCCAAUGGCGACGAUGGAUGGGGUGUGACAGUAGACGCAGACCGUUCUGACCCGGGCUGGCCCUGUCCCUUGGAGAGAUCAGCUGGGCGAUUUGCACAGCCCUGUUUACAGAAGCACCACCACUGAACUGACGGCUCCGACCAAACCCUCGCAUUGUUUUGUCCUCUUUCCUUCUUGCCCCAUAUCUAAGGCAUAGCCAGCCCUGGGUGCUAAUUUCAAAAACAACCCAUUUCCCCACCUCCACCACCAGGACCCUAGUCCUAGCGCCAGACCUCUGGCCUGGUCCCUAACGGGUCUUCCUAACCUCUCUCCCUGCUUCCCAUGGGUCCCCCUACCCCCAGAAUGAUUUUUCUAAAAAAUAUAAAUCAGAUUGCAUCAUUCCCUAGCCCCUUGGGCUUCCGUUAUGGGUGACUUUCACCCACAUAACAGGAGUAGCGAGAGGGGGUGCCCCUGCUGCUCUGAGGACUCAGGCAGCACCAGCUGCCCAUGCUGUCAUCAGCUUCCAUGGUCACUGUUGACCGUGAUCAGUGAGGUGACAACUUCUGUUGGCCUCUGCUCCCCUCUGAAAUGCAGGGGAAGGACCCCAUGCCCUCUAAGGUCCACUGUAUGGUAACUAACUAGGACCCAUCACCAGUUACCACGGUGACGAGGUUGCCAUGGGGACACUGCGAUUACAGCAGUUAGACGUCCUUUCUGGUGGUGGCCCAGGCCCCACGCACACAUGUGUUCGCAGAAGAACGUGUGGAAGGCUUUCCUGCACGCCUGUAACGAGGGGGUCAGGGAGGUGAGAUGGGGGCCCUUUGCUCUUCUCCCCACGUUUGUCUGAGCCCACGUUCUCUGGUCUGUGAGCAAGCUCUGGAGCAUUCUGCCCUCAGAGGUGAAGAGCCAACAAGACGACACAUGUGAGGCCCUGGGGUGAGUGGUGGCACCGGCGUGCCUGACGGGCUGCAGCCAGGUGGGGAGUCACGGCUCUGGCAGAAACGUGCUCGGCUCAGAGCAGGGUGCUUACUGUCUGUGACCUCGCGGUCAGAGCCUGCCUGCCCAUGAAGGGGGGAACAGCGGCGGUUUGGCACAUACACUCCCAGGGGCACGGGGGCACAGCGAGGGGCCGUCCCUUCAAAGCUGAAUGACGUCAACCGUUUCCCAAAUCACAGCAGGUGAAGUUCAUGGAUAGAGUUGUCCACCUGUAACUUUUGGCUUCUUUUCCCUGAUAAUCUUUUCUGAAGCCUCAGGAUACCUGCUGCAGCUUCUCUUUCUAAGCAAACGAUCAACACUGCUUUCGUCCCAGUGGGGAAGAUUGCCCUGGAGGGCGGGUGACACAUGGCAGAGCAGUGCCCCCAAGCCUGAGGGUGCUGUCACAGCAGCAGUGAAGGUUGGGACCGGGCUCUGCACACUGCACGGAGACGAGCACAACAAGCAGUUGUUAUGACAAGACCAGGCUGGCAGGAACGUGCUCGGUGUAUUUCUGGAUGAAAGGGCAUUUUCUCCCAGGUGAGCUCUGCUGUCCUGGUUUGUUCUGUGCCAGUUAUGCAGUGUUCCGAUUCGGACCCUACGGUUUAUGCUAAUACUCUCCUUGGUGACUUACAACUUCUUGACAGCACUCAAUUUGGGUGCAUCUAGAAAUCUAAUAUCACCACGUCUUCCGGUGUCAGAUGUCCCUGAAAGGGCCAGGCUGCCUGACGCAGGCAUUGGGAUUUGUACAUGUGUGUAAGCACACGUAAUCCAACUUCACUCUCAGGCCAUACUGUCUGUCCCUUGAGGUUAAUGCUGAGCUGGUGUCUGGGUUCCAUCGAUAUUUACCUCUUAGGUCGAGAAAGCUUGGUGUCCACAUCCACGGACAUGGGUACCUGCUUAGUCAAGCAGCUGAGGAGGCAGUGGGUCUGGUUGGGGGAGUGACUCAUGGAUGCGAGCGUGGAAAGGGUCCUCACAGUUCCGUCCCUCCACCUCGGGCCUAGUGUCCUGCGGUGCCCAGGUCCCUUCCUUCUUUCCUGUGACGGGUGCCCAGGUCCCUUCCUCCUGUAACAGGUGCUCAGGUUCCUUCCUGGCUGUGGCGCCUCCCUCCUUGUAUAAUUAGGAGGAUAGUAUAGCAGUUGCCUCAGGUUGGUAAGUGCUAAAACCUGGAAAAUGAAACGUUUUUCCACCUGGACAGACCCAAAAAAAAGUUUGUACUGACAUCAGCCAGAACUGCUUGGAAGCAACUGUGUGGGAAAAGCCAUGAAAACAACCAGCUGGCUUCAACACCAGGACGAAGGAAAGGAGGGUGCUGUUCCCUGGGUGGGGCCUGCGGGAGGGGGGGGUGGCAGGUCCCAGCAAUGCUGUCCACGAGGACCCAACGCCCGGCCAGCAGCACCCACUGCGACGUGACCAGGAAGGUGCUGUGGGUCACCGGAGAGCUGGAAGGUCAGCCAGUCCGACGCCCUCAGCCCGCCUACGCUGGGGACAGCGGUGGGCACAGGGCCCAGUGUCCAUCCCCUUCCCCCCCCAAUGGCAGUGUCUUCUUUGCUGAUCACUCUGUCCUGAGCCCAGGGAGGGGUCCACCUGGGCAGCUGUCACCACGUGUGACCUCAGCCUGGCUCCACAUUGUUUCAGGCGCGUCUGGCAGGGUGUCUCCAGGUGAGAGCAGCAUUUGAAUCAGCAGAGGGAGCCAAGCAGACGCUGUCCCCAGGGGGUGGGUCUCCCCUCUUCCCUUAGAGGUCCAGGAGAACAGAAGUGGGUGGGGUCGUAGCUCAGGGCCAUUUGGGAGCUGGAACGUCCUUCUUCUCCUGCACUCGACUGGAUCUUCCCAGCGGCUGUCCGGGGUCUGCAGCUCGCAGACGGCAGGCAGGGAGAUAGUGGGACUGCCAGCCUCCCUAACCACGUGAGCCAGUUCCUUGCAAUGCACAUAAAUGUAUUCGUAUCUCCUACAGGGUCUGUAAUCUGCAGAGCCCUGGCUGUCACACAGGCAAUGAAACAACAGGCCCCCGGCAGCUGCUCUGAGCUCCCCGUCUAAGCUCUCAGCCCCUGCGGCCUGCCUGGCCCUGGCCCUGCAGAAGAGGCGACAGUGACAUCUCGUGGCCGCUGAAGGACUGGUCGGCGUGAGCUCGGGCUCUCGGAGGGCUGGGUUGCAUCCAGGGCUCUGACGUCAGUGGGUGGCUCUCGCCGCGUUUGGUCUUCACCCCUGAGCACCCGCGUCCCUGCUCAGGACUUGAGGCUGCAGGAAAACCCAGCCCAGCACAGGCCCCACACACACCGCUGCCAUCAGGUGCUGUUCUAAGCCCUUUGCAAAUAUUAACUCACUUCAGCAACUUGCCCGUCUCACGUGUCCUUUGUGCAAGUGACCCGCUCACUUUCUGAAUUAGCUGAUUAAUGGGACAGGUCUCCGUGAACAAGGACGCUCCCCCUGCUGUGUGAUGGUGGAAUUCAGGGUGUCCGUGACGCCCCUGGUAAGGACAGAGAGAGCUUUCUGGAGGCGGGCAGGACUUUCCGGUGGACCUCAGAAGCAAGCAGACCACACCUGCGCUGUGCCGGCGUGUGUAGCCAGCCUUAACGACGGUGCUCAGAAAGCUGCUUUCUUCCCCAAGUGAGGCUGGCGGAAGAGACUGCAGGAGAUGAGAGGGGCGGCUCGUCCCUCUGUGACCGCAGUGCCCAGACCCCAGGCUGCACACCUGGGAGCCAUGACACCCCACUGCCCUGCCCUCUGCACUCACCUGUGCGACGGGCAUUGCUGCUCCUCCCUCACAGGGGCGUCUGCUCCCCCCCGGACCGGGCUGGUCGUGCGGUUUGCCUUGGCCAAUAGAAUGUGGCAGAAGUGACCGCAACCCAGUACUGUCCACCCAUGGGCCUCAAGAGGCCUUGCAUGUGCCCACUCGCUUCCACGGGUCCCCAUCUAUCCUGCUGCCACGGGAGCGUGCCCUGGACACAGCCACACCCAAAGCCAAAGACGCCCCUGGACAUUUCACUGCCUUUAUUGCUUAGACGAGUUUGAACUGGGUUCCUGUCACUGGUGACAAGUUCCCCGAUUCCCGAGCCUCCUAACUGACCCUCUGCCUCAGGUUCCCCACAGACAGAGCCCAGAGCCACCCUCCGACGCACCAUCUUCGUGCCCAUCGCUGCCCAUUUGCAACUCGCAGUGGUGUCUCGUUGCCUCCAGGCUGAGAUCCAAGUGUGUUCAAUCUUGCUGUCAGUACUCUCCAGGAUCUGGUCCCACUCCACACUCUGCCACACCUUGCUCUUCAUUACGUGCACAAAAACACACCAAGCCCCUCCGCUCUGCGUUUCAUCAUGGAGUGCUCGUGAGCCGGGGAGGCAGGGCUCCCUGCCCCGAGAGGCGGGCACAGGCGGAUGGUGAACGUGAUACAUGAGCACAUCACACAGCCAGUGAGAAGACCAAGUGGCGUGGAAUGAAUGCAAGAUAAAGCCGGGUCUCUCCCUUCCCCAAGUGCGAGAGCCCGGCUUCCGACGGCCAC